RNAcentral lists this long non-coding RNA (972 nucleotides) under Erythranthe guttata (spotted monkey flower). RNAcentral's name for it is "long non-coding RNA (EGUT_LNC001101)". Lineage: Eukaryota; Viridiplantae; Streptophyta; Magnoliopsida; Lamiales; Phrymaceae. The record is from RNAcentral.
AAAAUACCAAAAUCAACUAUAAAAUUGUCGAAAUUAAAACAAAAUUAUCGAAAACAACUAAAAAAAAUCAGAAACAAAUAUAAUUUUAUCGAAAACAACUAUAAAAUAUAAAAAAAAACCCCAACUUUAGAGAAAACUUAUAAAUUUGUUUCUUCUUUAUUAUAGUUAGCCGCCAUUAUUCCAACCCUACAAAACAAAAAAAAUUACAAAAGUCACAAAUCAAUUACAAAGUAUCUCUUUUAUCUUCUCUCUUUUAUCUUCUUCUUCCCCACCAAGAAAAAACACAAUGUACGUAUAUGGUGAUUGCCAGAGAGAAGCAAUAUACACACACCCAACAACUCCAACUCAACUAAAGUAGUUGGAUUUUUUAAUUACUUUUUCAAAAAGUCGAAUGAAAAAUUCAGUUUUCUUUCCUCCAAUAAAGACUUCUAUCCAUACUACUUCCACCACCACCGGCAACGGCACCCAUCGGCCAUCACUGCACAUCCGCCACCGCCUUCAGAGGCGGAGCCUCCCUCAGUCGCUUCAAGCCCCCACAUCUGCCGUUAUUUGUCCCUCCAGGCCAUGGGGUCUUCCGCCUGCUCUGCUACACCUCCAGCGUCGGUAGUCAAAUCCGGCUCCAUCAUCAAGCAACUCCAACGGUGGUGGCCGGGGCACCAGAGUCGCAGCAAGUGGAGACGGAACUGCAACGGGGAGGGGCCAGGCAGCGGUGGUGGCUGAGGCACAGAGCGGGGCGGACGUCGAACUAUGACGGAAGAAAUGGAGAAGGACGGCUAGUGGAGAGAAAAAGAAGAUGAUAGAAGAGAAAUAGGGUUUCAUGUAAUUAGAGAUUUUAAAUGUUAAAGAUGUGAGGGCAAAUUAGGUUUAUUGAGUAUUAGUUUAUUAAAUAUUUAUUUAAUUAAAUAGCUAAAGGGGGUUUCACUAAUAUGUAAAAGGGGUGGGAUAUAUUCUUAUUAUACUAAAUGAGUGAUG